GGAUAACACCAAGAAACACUACAGCAGGAGAAAGAAGAACGUUUCAGUGGGAUCAACAAGAGGACAAACCUCAAGAGGAAAAAGUGAGCAGUCAUUCUGAUCAAGUGGUUCUCAACAGUUCAACAGUUCUUUGAGAAAAUUGUGAAAUGUUUAGGACCACUUGGGCAGUUGGACACUUGCUGCCAUCUUUGURAAAAGGGGGAACAUCUCCGAAGGCCCGACUCCGAACAGUGUUGGAACAAGUGUGCGAUUAUUCAUUUCCUGCUUUUGUUGCUUUUUAAUGUCAUUUCGCCACACCUGCAGUCUUUGGGGGAACUGUGGGGGGGCUGUAAAAAUCAUUAGGCUUCAGUAAUUUCAUCCUGCUGGCACACGUGCAAAAAUUUAACAGCUCUGCUGCUGCAGCAAGGCUUGUGUUUUCACCGCUUUUUCUGUCGCUGCUGUUCAGAGGUACUGAUUAAAACAAGUCAAUAAAGAUCCAUUUGUCUCUGAUGAGUCUGUGGGGGGUGAUGGACCUUUGGUUUGCAGGGAUUGUCCCUGUCCAAAAAAUGGGGGAAAUUAGUUUCAAUGUAAAAUAUGCACACUCGUAAUGUCAUUAAUGACAAAUUUAACACUAGAGAUAGAUUUGAUCUUAAACGAAUCAAUAACUUAUUAAAGAUGUGUCAUACAUG
Molecule: long non-coding RNA, 668 nt
Organism: Austrofundulus limnaeus
Lineage: Eukaryota; Metazoa; Chordata; Actinopteri; Cyprinodontiformes; Rivulidae
Exons: 2
Source: RefSeq, a predicted model, not a curated record